This 1953-nucleotide ribosomal RNA is filed under the name Triticum aestivum (bread wheat). Its description in RNAcentral is "partial small subunit ribosomal RNA". Lineage: Eukaryota; Viridiplantae; Streptophyta; Magnoliopsida; Poales; Poaceae. The record is from RNAcentral.
AUGAAACCUCUUUCUAUAGAUGACUCUAGAAGGCUCUUCUAUAAAAGAGUAUUUGCCGCUGAUAGUGGAUGUCCAAAUGAAUUUGAACAAGUGUCUAAUGAUAUUUUAAAGAAAUGUGGUGGCGUACCACUAGCCAUCAUUACAAUAGCUAGUGCUUUGGCUAGUGGCCAGGUGGUGAAACCAAAGAGUGAAUGGGAUAUUCUGCUCCAAUCCCUUGGCUCUGGACUAACAGAAGAUAAAAGUUUAGAGGAGAUGCGGAGAAUACUAUCUUUCAGCUAUUAUGAUCUACCUUAUCAUCUGAGAACUUGUCUAUUGUACCUAUGUAUAUACCCUGAAGAUAGCGUGAUUGAUAGAGAUAGACUGAUAUGGAAGUGGGUGGCCGAAGGAUUUGUCCACCAAGGAAAUCAAGGGACUAGCCUAUUUUUGCUCGGAUUAAAUUACUUCAACCAGCUCAUUAAUAGAAGUAUGAUCCAGCCAAUACAUGAUGAUAUAGGCCAGGUAUGUUCUUGCCGUGUACACGAUAUGGUUCUGGACCUUAUCUGCAACUUAUCACAUGAAGCAAAGUUUGUUAAUCUAUUGGAUGGCACUGGGAAUAUCAUGUCUUCACAAAGUAAUGUUCGUCGUUUGUCCCUUCAUAAUAAAAAUGAAGAUCAUCAAGCCAAGCCUCUCAGAAAUUUCACGGUUAUAUCACGAGUGAGGUCAAUUACUAUCUUUCCACCUGCUAUAAAUAUCAUGCCAGCCCUGUCAAGAUUUGAAGUUUUACGUGUACUUGAUCUGUCAGACUGUAAGCUUUGGGAAAGUGGCAGCCUACAGCUUAUCCUCAAGGAUGUUGCACAUCUGAUUCAUCUAAGGUACCUAGGUCUAGCACAUACAGGAAUCAGAGAACUCCCGGCUGAGAUAGGGAACCUGCAGUUUUUGGAGGUGUUGGAUCUUGGAUUCAAUUUUUGCGUGCGGGCAUUGCCGUCAACUUUUUGUAAUUUGAGAAGAUUAAUCUACCUAAAUUUUUAUUUGUGUAAGGUGGUUACGGCUGGUGUAUUGCAGAAUCUGACAUCCAUAGAAGUUUUGAGGGGAAUAUUGGUCUCUCUGGACAUCGUUGCACAAGAGCUUGGCAAAAUAGCAAUGCUGAGGCAGCUUGAGAUAUGCCUCAAGGAUGAUAGUUUGGCUUUGUAUGAAUGUUUUGUUGAAUCUCUGCGCAACCUGCAUCACAUCGAGAGUCUUAUUAUAAGUUCCUACUCCAAAGAAACAUCUUUUGAACUGAUGGAUCUCUUGGGAGAACAAUGGGUGCCUCCUGGACAUCUGCGCAAAUUUGGGUCACAUGUGCCCACCCAACUCUCUGCACUGCGAGGGUGGAUAGACAGAGACCCCUCGCAUCUCUCGAACCUCUCCGCGUUAAUCCUCGAUUCAGUGAAGGAAGUGCAACAGGAGGACAUGAAAAUCAUUGGGGGGCUGCUGUCCCUUCGGCGUCUUGUCAUAAAGAGCACCCACCAAACAGAACGGCUGAUAGUCGUCAGUGCAUAUGGGUUCCGCUGUAUGGUUGACUUUUGCUUCGACUGUGGAUCAGCAGCGCAGAUAAUGUUUGAACCAGGGGCUUUGCCAAGUGUGGAAGCAAUUGAGUUCAGCCUCAGCGUGGGGGUGGCGAAAGAGGAUGGUAAUGUCGAUUUCGACUUCGGUCUUCAAGGGAACAUGCUCUCCCUUCGGCGGUCUGUCUCUGUUGGUUUUUAUUUUGGUGGAGCGAGGGUUGUCGAGGCGAAGGAAGCGGAGGCUGCGGUGAGGCACGCGCUCCACGCCCACCCCAACCAACCGGAGAUUAAAAUUUCUGUUAAUCCACCCUUUGCAGAGGGUAUUGAGGAAUGGAUGUCCAGACCGAAUGAAGCGAAAUCAUCUUACGCUUGUUCAGGUUUGGACUUUGGGAGAAAUGCUCCUUCCUCGCUCAUAUACAGUGCUAGGCGCUGA